GCUGCUCCAAUAUGCUACCUCUCCGUGGUGAGCAGCAGGCAACAGAUGAAAAUCUGGCUAAAAGCAUAG
This 69-nucleotide ribozyme is filed under the name unclassified sequences. RNAcentral describes it as "HDV ribozyme from F. prausnitzii". It matches the Rfam family "HDV ribozyme from F. prausnitzii". The record is from RNAcentral.